This 448-nucleotide long non-coding RNA is filed under the name Panax ginseng (ginseng). RNAcentral's name for it is "long non-coding RNA (PGIN_LNC013372)". Lineage: Eukaryota; Viridiplantae; Streptophyta; Magnoliopsida; Apiales; Araliaceae. The record is from RNAcentral.
UUCGAUCUUCAACUAUUACCAAGAUAAUCUGCGUGUUUUGUUUUUGAUUUUCAAGCUCUGUGUUAUCUCUCAGCUCUGUGUAAAGACAGAGAGAUAGAGGGAUUUUCAAGCUCCGUGUUAGUAUUGAAGGGUUAGAUUUAUCCCAAUUUUUUGACGGUCAUGAUCUUGUAAUAGGCUUGAGCGAGAAACUUAGUUUUUUCAAAAUCAGUUGUAUUUUGUAUAGAUAGAUUUGACACAACUUUUCAGUCCAUCGACAAAAAAACUCUACUUCUAGAAAGAGAGUUCACCUUUUGCCCUAACAUUUAUUAACAAAGUAUAUAUAAAGAAAUGCAUACAUAAAAAUAGAAUCGUGAACUCAUAUUUAAGAGUCCUAGCAUCCUUUUAGAUAUAAGACAUCUGAUUUAACUACUAAUGGACCAAAUAUUACACACAUAUAUUCAGAUAGCAC